Molecule: small nuclear RNA, 103 nt
Organism: Rhincodon typus (whale shark)
Lineage: Eukaryota; Metazoa; Chordata; Chondrichthyes; Orectolobiformes; Rhincodontidae
Source: RefSeq, a predicted model, not a curated record
CCUGUUGUGGGCAGCACAUAUAGGAAUUGGAAUGCUAAAGAGAAGAUUAGCCUGGUCUCUGCACAAGGAUGACAUGCAAUUUCAUGAAGCAUUCCCUAUUUUU